Molecule: ribosomal RNA, 253 nt
Filed under: uncultured bacterium
Lineage: Bacteria
Description: partial 16S ribosomal RNA
Rfam family: Bacterial small subunit ribosomal RNA
Source: RNAcentral
UACAGAGACCUCAAGCGUUAUCCGGAUUCAUUGGGCGUAAAGGGUGAGUAGGCGGAUAUAAUAGUCAAAAGUCAAAUCAUUUCGCUCAACGGAAUGACUGCUUUUGAAACGUUAUAUCUGGAAACAGGUAGAGGUAAACGGAACUCAUGGUGUAGCAGUGAAAUGCGUUGAUAUCAUGGGGAACACCAAAGGCGAAGGCAGUUUACUGGACCUUGUUUGACGCUGAAUCACGAAAGCGUGGGUAGCGAACGGG